Molecule: long non-coding RNA, 1299 nt
Organism: Conger conger (European conger)
Lineage: Eukaryota; Metazoa; Chordata; Actinopteri; Anguilliformes; Congridae
Exons: 3
Source: RefSeq, a predicted model, not a curated record
GGCACAGGAACACGCACCUCUUGGGACUGAAGACAUCUGACAAAAACUGGUACAUACCUUCUUAUGCACAUUCAUGCACAUUUCCUGGUUGGGAAAGAUUCUGUGAUAGUUUUCUUUCUUUGCUUACUGUGGACUUAAGUGAACUGGUACCUGAGAACUCAACAAUGGCACUAUAUCAAAGACAAGAGACAAGAGAUGAAGCUAUAUCAGGUGUAAUGAAGAACAGUGAACAGAUUGCAACAGAACCCAUACAAAUAUACCUGCUGAACACAGUCAAGGAAGAUUUGAAUGAAGACGGACAAGUCAGGAGAUACACAUUUGGAAGAAAGAACCCAGAAAAACAGAACAGGACAAUCAUGAUGGUGGGAGAAACAGGAACAGGGAAGUCUACACUCAUAAAUAUGAUGGUGAACUACAUGCUGGGAGUAAAGUGGGAUGACAAUAUUAGAUUUCAGAUUAUUCCAGGUGAAGGCGAAAGAUCCAAAGCUAAAUCUCAAACCAAUGUAAUAACUGUCUAUGAGAUUUUUGGACUGGAGAAACUGUCUGUUCCCUUUUCCCUCACAGUCAUUGACACACCAGGAUAUGAAGACACAAGAUACAGAGAAAGAAAAAAUCAUUGCUCAGAAUCUGUAUACAUUGUUGAAUUCUUUACACGGUGUUGAACAAAUAGACGCAGUUUGCUUUGUGGUGAAGGCAUCUUUAAAUCUCCUAACUCCCCACCAGAAAUACAUAUUUGAUGCCAUCCUGUCCCUCUUUGGGAAGAACAUGGAGAAACACAUCUUGACCCUCAUCACCUUCUCAAGCUGGACGCCACCUUCAGAAGCUCUUCAGACACUUAUUCAGUCUGGUGUACCUUUCCUCAAAGACGAUAACGAUGAACCGGUCUACUUCCCAUUCAACAACCUUCCUCUUGAGAAGCCAGGCGAGAAAUAUGAAAUGAUAUAUAAAACAAGCUGGGAUAAAGGAACAAAGAGCUUCAAGGACUUCUUCAAGGUUUUGGGUCGAAUGGAACCACAAAGCUUGAGGAUGACGGAAAAAGUCUUGAAGCGACGACAGAGCCUGGACAAUUCUGUCCAGAGAUUGGGGAGUCGGAUCAAGGAUGUGGAGGAGAAGCACAAGGCACUUGAUGAGGAAGCCAUUAUGCAGACAGUUCAGGGCAAAGCCACUUGCUGCACAGAGUGUAAGGUGAACUGCCACUAUCCGGGCUGCUGGUGGGCAAAAAGCCUAAGAUGGUGUUCUGUAAUGAAGGACGGCAAAUGCACGGUCUGUCCAAAAAACUGCAGCUAUGAGGUCCACAAA